This 887-nucleotide ribosomal RNA is filed under the name uncultured Planctomycetota bacterium. RNAcentral's name for it is "bacterial SSU rRNA". It matches the Rfam family "Bacterial small subunit ribosomal RNA", at positions 8 to 896 of the family's 1533-position model. Lineage: Bacteria; Pseudomonadati; Planctomycetota. The record is from RNAcentral.
AGAGUUUGAUCCUGGCUCAGAAUGAACGUUGGCGGCGUGGAUUAGGCAUGCAAGUCGCGCGUGAAGGGUUUGGUGCUUGCAUUAGACCUGGAAAGCGGCGAAAGGGAGAGUAACGCGUAGGGCACCUGCCCCCUGGUCUGGGAUAGCGGUGGGAAACUGCCGGUAAUACCGGAUGAUGUCUCCGGACCAAAGGUGUGAUUCCGCCGGGGGAUGGUCCUGCGUCCUAUUAGCUUGUUGGUGGGGUAAUGGCCUACCAAGGCAAAGAUGGGUAGCGGGCGUGAGAGCGUGGCCCGUCUCACUGGGACUGAGACACUGCCCAGACACCUACGGGUGGCUGCAGUCGAGAAUCUUCCGCAAUGGACGCAAGUCUGACGGAGCGACGCCGCGUGCGGGAUGAAGGCCUUCGGGUUGUAAACCGCUUUCGGCAGGGUGGAAAUGCAUGAUGGUUAUCCGUCAUGUUUGACCUAACUGCAAAAGAAGUCCGGGCUAAGUACGUGCCAGCAGCCGCGGGAAUACGUACCGGACAAACGUUACUCGGAAUCACUGGGCUUAAAGAGUACGUAGGCGGCUUGGUAGGUGAGGUGUGAAAUCCCACGGCUCAACCGUGGAACUGCGCUUCAAACCACUAAGCUUGAGGGAGACAGGGGUGAGCGGAACAGAUGGUGGAGCGGUGAAAUGCGUUGAUAUCAUCUGGAACACCGGUGGCGAAGGCGGCUCACUGGGUCUCUUCUGACGCUGAGGUACGAAAGCUAGGGUAGCGAACGGGAUUAGAUACCCCGGUAGUCCUAGCUGUAAACGAUGAGCACUAGUUCGAGGGGACUUCCACAUCCUCUCGGACGUAGCGAAAGUGUUAAGUGCUCCGCCUGGGGAGUAUGGUCGCAAGGCAA